Long non-coding RNA from Rosa rugosa (rugosa rose), 945 nucleotides. RefSeq lists it as uncharacterized. The record is from RefSeq and is a predicted model, not a curated record. The transcript is spliced from 2 exons. Lineage: Eukaryota; Viridiplantae; Streptophyta; Magnoliopsida; Rosales; Rosaceae.
UAACUAAGUUAGUUAGUUUUUUUUUUCGAGAACUGAGGAUUUUGGCAAAGAGAAAACAACUAACAUUCAAAUGAAGAAAGGUUACAGAACCCAGAAACUGGGUUGGAACAACAAACAAACAAGAACAAGAAAGAACAAAGCACCAUAAAGCAAACCCAAACUACAACACAAGAGCCGCCCAAGGAGUAUCUCAGCAAGGAGGACAGCGCCGUGACAUCGACUGCGUCUCUGCCAUGGAGAGAACACCAAGCUACACGACUAAGAAGAUCGAGAUAUCUCAGAACGCACCAACAAAGAAAGACAACAGGGCCUAAACCAGGGCAGCAGGAAAGGGAUAAGAGUCGCUGAAGAGAGCGACACCCAGGGACAGCAACCGGUUUGAGAGGAAGAAGUAGAGAUCUGGAAAUUUGGGCGUGUGAGUCCUGAGGAACAGAUCGAGGAGAAGACGAAAAAGGGGGGCAAUCAACAUAAAGGGAAAGACAAUCUCUCUCUCUCUAGAAAUUUGAGCAUAAAGCCCAAAUCUUUGUGUUCUUCAUCCGCUGCUGUCUUUUCAGAUACCCAGUUGGCCUUUUGUUCAAUUCGAGAUGGGUUUAUGAUUUUGUGAAAUGGGUUUAUGUUGAAAGUGGAGAAUUGUUCUUGGUUUACAUGACUGGAUGGUUGUUGAGCUGUUUGCUGGGACUUAAGAGUGUCAAAUUUCUCCAAUGAAUAUCAGUUCCUUCUUUGUUUUGUUUCUGACUUUGGCAUGACAACUUGAACAGAACACUGAUGGCUGCCAAGAAAAUAUACAAAACUGUAUCAGAAAUGUUGGGGAAUCUUAUAAUAUUUGGGUUGUUAAUGUCAGAGGCCAUCGACAUUACUUUGUUGGUUCCAUUUCAUUUUCAUUCAUAUAUUCUUGAUUGGUAUAUAUAUUUUCUUCAAUGAAUUUAAGCUCAAUUUUAUACAGUA